AGGUUUGCACAGUGGCAGUAUCGUAGCCAAUGAGGUUUAUCCAAGGCACUAUUAUUGCUGAUUGAAAACUUUUCCCAAUACCCUGCCAUGACGACUUGAAGUAUAGUCAGCAUUGAGAAUUUUUGACAAUCUCUACGGAGA
RNAcentral lists this small nuclear RNA (141 nucleotides) under Cebus imitator (Panamanian white-faced capuchin). Its description in RNAcentral is "U4 spliceosomal RNA (ENSCCAG00000006252.1)". It matches the Rfam family "U4 spliceosomal RNA". Rfam says of the family: U4 small nuclear RNA (U4 snRNA) is a component of the major U2-dependent spliceosome. Lineage: Eukaryota; Metazoa; Chordata; Mammalia; Primates; Cebidae. The record is from Rfam by way of RNAcentral.